Helianthus annuus (common sunflower) is the source of this 108-nucleotide non-coding RNA. NCBI's taxonomy places the organism in Eukaryota, Viridiplantae, Streptophyta, Magnoliopsida, Asterales, Asteraceae. The record is from Rfam.
AGACCUUGAUGUGGGCAUUUCCUUAAUAACUCCUUGAACUUUUUCCCAUGUUUUAUAUAAAGAUUCCCCAUCCUCUUGGGAGUAUGAGUUUAUUUCGGUCAUGAGUUU